RNAcentral lists this ribosomal RNA (422 nucleotides) under uncultured bacterium. RNAcentral's name for it is "partial 16S ribosomal RNA". It matches the Rfam family "Bacterial small subunit ribosomal RNA", at positions 360 to 774 of the family's 1533-position model. The record is from RNAcentral.
AAUUUUGGACAAUGGGGGGAACCCUGAUCCAGCCAUCCCGCGUGUGUGAUGAAGGCCUUCGGGUUGUAAAGCACUUUUGACAGGGAAGAAACAGCACCGGCUAAUACCCAGUGCCAAUGACGGUACCUGUAGAAUAAGCACCGGCUAACUACGUGCCAGCAGCCGCGGUAAUACGUAGGGUGCAAGCGUUAAUCGGAAUUACUGGGCGUAAAGGGUAAGGAAGCCGCUAAGAAAAGAGGAUGGGGAAUCCCAAGGCUCAAACUUGGAACUGGAUUCUUAACUGCCUAGCUAGGAGAAGUCAGGGGGGGGUAGAAUUCCACGUGUAGCAGUGAAAUGCGUAAAUAUGUGGAGGAAUACCGAUGGCGAAGGCAGCCCCCUGGGAUAAUACUUACGCUCAGGUACGAAAGCGUGGGGAGCAAACA